GUCCCCCAUUGGGACCCCCUUUUGAUUUCUUGUUGAACUUUUGCAGUUGCCAGACCGCAAGAUGUUUUAACAAAUCAAAAGGGGUUUUAA
Molecule: small RNA, 90 nt
Filed under: Salmonella enterica subsp. enterica serovar Typhimurium str. SL1344
Lineage: Bacteria; Pseudomonadati; Pseudomonadota; Gammaproteobacteria; Enterobacterales; Enterobacteriaceae
Description: STnc490
Source: RNAcentral